Molecule: ribosomal RNA, 225 nt
Filed under: uncultured bacterium
Lineage: Bacteria
Description: partial 16S ribosomal RNA
Rfam family: Bacterial small subunit ribosomal RNA
Source: RNAcentral
CGUAGGUAACCUGCCCAUGUGUCCGGGAUAACUGCUGGAAACGGUAGCUAAAACCGGAUAGGUAUACAGAGCGCAUGCUCAGUAUAUUAAAGCGCCCAUCAAGGCGUGAACAUGGAUGGACCUGCGGCGCAUUAGCUAGUUGGUGAGGUAACGGCCCACCAAGGCGAUGAUGCGUAGCCGGCCUGAGAGGAUAAACGGCCACAUUGGGACUGAGACACGGCCCAA